Molecule: long non-coding RNA, 4914 nt
Filed under: Sus scrofa (pig)
Lineage: Eukaryota; Metazoa; Chordata; Mammalia; Artiodactyla; Suidae
Description: lncRNA (ENSSSCG00000059242.1)
Source: RNAcentral
ACAGCUCAUGGCAACACCAGGUCCUUAACCCACUGAGAGAGGCUGGGGCUCAAACCCUAAUCCUCAGGAUACUAGUCAGAUUCUUAACCCACUGAGCCACAACAGGAACUCCUGUGUGUAUGUCUUACUUGAUCCUGAGAUUUCUGAUCAUUUGUACCAGGUUAACAGAAAGAGUACAGAGUCAGCCGCAAAAUAGCCUGAGUGCAAUAAGUGCAGAACAAUUGGAAAAUUUAAGUCAAAUAGAAAUUGAGUUAUUUUUAAUUUCAAAGACAGCCUGUGAUGGUCAACCUCUCACCUGGCAAAUGUUCUUUUAGGGAAAACAGAUUAAAAACGAACAUGUAGUUGUAGCUAACUUUGCAGGAGACCUCUGGGGCAAAUUGCCAGUGCUGUUAUGGAAUGUUUCUGGGAAAGGGGGCAGGGAAUACUUUUUGAAUCACCUUGCAGCCCAAACCAGUGUGAGGUCUCAGGCAUUCCUAUCUUCACACCACAGUAUUGCAACUCACUAUUUAUGGGGUGUUAGGCAAAUCACUUCCCUCAGCAUCCACCCUCUCGUUGGUGACAUGGCCAUAACAGCGAGUAUCUUUGUAGAGAGCUUAUGCAAAGUAAAUGAGAGAAAACAUGCAAUGAUGCCUGGCACAGAAUAAGUGCUCAACAAUAUUGGUCCCGCUUCCUCUUCGUUCUCAGAAGUUUUCAUUGUCACCUUCAAGGAUGUAGGAAGGCUCUUCCUCAAGGAAUUCUCCAGCAUCUGCAGCAUCUGGGCACCUUGCAAUAGGAACAUCGUGGGAGAUGUCUUAGCCUAGAGAGACAACCAAAUAAUAGCCAGAAAUGAGAAGAGCCAGAGGAGAUUCAGAAACAAGAGUAGUAAGUUCUCUGCUAAUUUCAAAUUCUAUGCUAAAUGCCAGAGCCCUCUUGAGUGUCUCCUUUGUGGUAUUAUCAUCCCUAAAGUCCUCCCCCAUCCCAAAGGAGGAUGAGAAAAGCAGAAAACGCAGGGCUUGCUUUCUGAAGCUCCAUCAGGACUUCUGACUCUACGAGGAAUAAGCUGUGUAAACCUGGGAAAGUGACCUAGCCUCUCUGUGCCUUGAUUUCCUCAAAGUAGACAGGGUAAUGUUACCAUCUGACUCAGAGAAUUUUUGUGAAGAUUAAAUGAGCUAAUACAUUAAAAGAGGACAUUACUGCUUAGAAAAGGAUCUGCCAUAUAGUAAGCAUUGAACAGAUAUUAUUUUUUUCCUGCCACCCUUCCUCUUCCUCACCCUCCACUUCCUCCCCAUCCUCUUUUCUCCCUCCUCCUUCUCCCCACUUGGGUUAAAGUGCUAUAUAUUGCAUGGUUAUGUUUUUUCCACUUUUGUCCUUUUAGGGCUGCAUGCAAGGCAUCAUGGAAGUUCCCAGGCUAGAGGUCGAAUCAGAGAUGCAGGCAGCAGUCUAUGCCACAGACACAGCAAUACCAGAUCCGAACCAUGUCUGCAACCUACACUGUAGCUAAUUGUAUCGCCAGAUCCUUAACCCACCGAGCAGGGCCAGGGAUUGCACCCACGUCAACAUGGAUACCAGUUGGGCUCAUUUCUGCUGAGCUACAGCAGGAACUCCUAUUGCAUGAUAUUUUGAUGCCAUCUUUUGCAUAUAGGGCACUUUGACAUGGUUUAAACCACAAACAGUUAAAUCUUGCUUAUCUGUUUAAGUGCCAAGUCAUAUUUCAAGCUGCUACUCUCACCUUAUCACGGAGCCUCACCUUUCUACCCCAUCCCUAAGACUCACCUUUGGAUCUAUAGUACAUAUUGUCUAAUUAUUAGGUGGUGUAAAAAUAGCAUUUGUACAUAUUUGACUCACUGCAUCGAAUUGGGAUUGCCAAAAUAGCCCAUAAAAUCCUAUCGACUUGAAAAAAGAAGAGAAGAGGCUGUGUCACAGUGUUCUGAUUUGGAACUGUGAUUUGGAAGGAGGGCAAAGUUACUUUGUAAUGACGACUCCAAAGAGGUGUUUUGAGAAGAUUCUGUGUUAAAGCCUGCCAUGCAUAGGAGUUCCUGUUGUGGCACAGUGGGUGAAGGACCUGCUGUUGUCUGUGUGAGGAUGAGGGUUCGAUCCCAGCCUCGCUCAGUGAGUUAAGGAUCUGGUGUUGCUGCAAGCUAUGAUGUAGUUUGCAGAUGUGGCUCAGAUCCUGCAUUGCUAUGGCUGGAGCAAAGGCCUGCAAAUGCAGCUCUGAUUUGACCCCUAGCCCAGGUACUUCCAUAUGCCAUGGGUGCCGCCCUAAAAAGAAAGAAAAGAAAAGAAAUAAAAUAAAAACCCGGCCAUGCCGGAGAUGCUAAACUCCAGGACUGGUAAACUUUGUGUUUUAGAGCAGCAAAGAUACUUCUGUUUCAGGCCAAGGUAUAGUAAUAGGAUCUAGAUUACUUGCCUUCCCACUUACAACAAUGACAAAACGAACCAAAGUAAAUGAAACAACAGUUUUCCCAUGUUGGACAUCAGGCAGCAGAGUCAUAUGAUCCCUGAGAACAGAGAAAUGGGCAAUGUAGCACUUGAGAUGGAAUCAACUUAUUGUUUGAAGGCUGCAGCUCAGGGAAAUGAAAAUUGACCAGAUCAUGGGAGCUCACUAACUUGUGCAUAAAGAGACUGGAGUUUGGGGAGACCAGGGUGGAGAUUCAGAGAGAGAGGCACAGGGAGAACUGGAGAAUUCUUGGGGAAGACCAAUCUCCUAAAUUCUUUGGUUCAGAUUGAUCUCUCUAAGGGGAAACCACCUCAGCCUCUCGCCUAUUGAAAGAAUCACUGGAAAGGAGUAGAUGGGGAAAUUGCUGUUGCUCACACAAGACUGAGAAUAAUUUGUGUUCUCAUGAGCUGGAAUGGAAGGACCUCAUAACAUAGGGCUUUGGGUAAGAUGCUCAGGCUUAGCAGGGGGUGAAAUUCAGCCUUGUCUGUUCUAGAGCCACCCUAACACUUGUUACAAGCAAGUUUUGAAAUAAUCCACUUGAUUCCAAUAACUUAGCCAUGGACCAGAACUUAUAUGUAAGUAUAAAAAAAUCCAUCAAUGAAUAGUAAAUAGUUCAAAUGGUCUACUCGUCAAUAAAAAUGCUAACCACAUAAAACCCCAAGAAAAUAGAAAAACACACAUCAGUAAAAUGAGACCCAAGAGAGACAUUUGCACACCUAUUGUGGAACAUUUUCUUAUUGCAAUAGCACCUCUCCCCCUAGUGCAGUAAUCCUUGCAAAUAAAGUUUCUCCUUAUCUAAAAAAGAAAAAGGGAGUGUCCUAGUUGCUCAGUUUUUUAAGGGUGAAGUAUUGUCACUGCUGUGGCUCAGGUCACUGUUGUAGGGCAGUUUAGAUCCCUGGCCUGGGAACUUCAGCAACCUGCAAGUACACCUAAAAAACAUAUUUUUUAAUAAAAAUAAAAGUAGGUAAAUGUGGAGAUGUUGGAACCUGUAGACAAGGAAUGUUAAAUAGUUAUAAACUUCCACCUCAUAUGUAAGAAGAUGGAGGAACACACGAGCAUAAUGACGAGAAAUAUGGAAGAUAUAAAGAAAAUGCACAUCGAGGUUGUAGAAAAGAAAAAAUACAUCUGCGAAAAAUACACUGGAUGUGCUUAACAGUAUGUAAGACAUGGCAAAAGGAAGGAAGCUAGACACAGCCAUCAAAACUAUCUGUAAUGAAGCAUGGAGAGAAAAAAAAAGUGGAAGACACAUCCUUGCUAAUAUGUCACCAUCUUUCCCCAAAACUAAUCUAUAGAUUCAAGCUAGUAAUAAAACACCCCUAGUUUCAUUUGUAGAAAGUCAAGCUGAUUCUAAAAUCUACAUGAUUUCAAGGCUCACUGGAAAGAUAGAGUGAUCAUGGGCUCGGCAUAAAGGACAGACAAAUAAAUCGAUGAAAUACAAUAGAGAGCCCAGAAGUAGGUGGGCAUUUGCGGUCAACUGAUUUUCAACAAAGAUGCCUAGACAAGCACAUGGAAAUGGAAGAGUCUUUUCAACAAAUGAUUUUGAAGUUUUAAACGGUCAGGGGGACUUCUUGGUAGACAAAAUGUACAUGUUGGAAGCAAGUCCCUGUCAUCUGUACUUAUUUGCCUCUCUGCUACUUUCAGCUCCCCAGGUCAUCGACCUAAAAUAGGUCCUCAUUCCACUUUAGAAGUGUUUCUUGAAUUUGACAAAGAAAGAAAAAACAUCAGCCCCUAAAACAUAGCCCUGUCACAGAACAGCAACAUCAUGCAAGGUCACAAUCAUGCUUGAACACAGCCAAAAACAAGGAGACUGUCUCUUAUGCAAAUCUGGCCAAAUACUCCUCUCUCCAGUUAACAAGCAGCUGCUAUAUCUUUGCCUCUACUCUUCUCCUUCCGCUCCAUAGAUGAAAGGAUUAAACAGAAGUGCAAGGCUUCCUGGCAGUAUCCAAGCCAGACCAAACCCUGGUGUCCUUGAACCCUCCCCCAAAUCGCCUACCAGGCAGGUCCCUCCCAACACACUCUUACUGAGAGGCGCUGCAUUUCCCUGGCGGUGUGCUGUCUCUCUCAUUGCAAGAGACAGUAAACCCGACUUUGGUGGAUUACAGGCGUGUUCCAAGGAUCUUUGGCUACAAGUCUUUGCCAAAAUUAGGUGUUCAGCCCUAGGGCAUCAGUUCCGACUCUGCUCUCUGUUUGCUUUGACUUCCCAGGACUCAGGGAUUCUUCCUUUUCAGCUUAACUGCUCAGGACUACUGGCUCUUCAGGAUGGUUGUAAAAGAUUUAGAUUUGCAGAAAUGCAGCCAUUAUUAGUUUCUUUCUAUGGAAAAACAUGUCAAGCGUACAAAGACUUCACUCCCUAGAUUUUUGGAUCCUGGUGCUUUAACAUGUUGUGCAAUGUGUGGACUGGUGAAUGUCCCAAGUUUUCCCUGUGGGUGUCUCCCUGUCUCCUUCCCAGAACCUUGUCAAUCACUGGAAGAGAAGAGCAGAUGCUAUUUUUUUUUUUU